Non-coding RNA from Cinara cedri, 744 nucleotides. The record is from the annotation of a GenBank genome assembly. NCBI's taxonomy places the organism in Eukaryota, Metazoa, Arthropoda, Insecta, Hemiptera, Aphididae.
UUAUUCGGAUGUGAAAUUAAAGGGUGUGGAAAUUUGUCGGGAAACUAUUAAGCACGCCUAUUAAAGUAAAGUCUGAGAAGAGUGUCUAAUAAUAAGAGAAACUGCAGUGGACUUGAAUUCGACAAGAAACAGAGGAGUAUUGCAAGAAAGUUAUUGUGGCUUAAAUUGAAUCAGUCAAAACUAAGUAAAACGUUAAAGGCAUAAUUGUAAUUAGUGUUAUUUAUGCAAUUACAACAAUAAAAUCAACUAUAUUAUAGUUAAAUUAAUCCAAAACCUAUCCUAACUACACAUUAACCUUACCGAUUAAAAUCGGUGUAUUUUAAAUUUUAAAGAAUGAUAAUAAAAGGUAAUUUAACAAUUUAAUGAAUUAUAGGACUUAGGUACAGAGUAAGUUUUUUGUAACUUUUGAAAGUUGAGAAAUUAAGUAAUCAGAAACGAUGGAUUGUGUACUAUAAAUAAUGAUGUAUAACAAAAAAACAUCCGAUUAUCUCAAAUAUAGUGCAGUUAUUACGACGAUUUUACAUAAUAUCCGAUGAACAGUCCGUAGUUAAACACACGUUGUAAGUUGUCAUGUUCAACAGCUAUAAUUGUAAAAAAAAAAUUCUAUAUUAAUGUAUUGUAUGAAAUGUUUUCGAAUUUUAUAGUUUAUUUUCUAUAGAUUCUUAAAUACCUGUGUAAUGAAUUGUAAAAUAUGUUAAAAACGUACAUCAGGUGUUCCCAAGAAUUUGCACGAUUGAAAAAAUU